Long non-coding RNA from Passer domesticus (house sparrow), 579 nucleotides. RefSeq lists it as uncharacterized. NCBI's taxonomy places the organism in Eukaryota, Metazoa, Chordata, Aves, Passeriformes, Passeridae. The transcript is spliced from 5 exons. The record is from RefSeq and is a predicted model, not a curated record.
CUUCUUCGGAAGGGAGCUCAUCCUGCCCAGCUGCUCUGCCCAAGGGCUGUGACACAGUCCCACCUCAGCUGAUCUCACUGGUUGGGGCAUGAAGAGAUGCAGAGCAGCCCUGCCGAGAAGGACUUGAUGUUGCAGCCAGAUGAGAGGCUGGAGAUGAGCCAGCCAUGUGCUUCCAAAGGAGAGUGCCCAGCAGGUUGAAGGAGGUGAUUCCACCUCUCUGCUCAGCUGAACCUGCUGGUGAAGGUGGUGCAGCUUCCCAAGCCACGUCCAGGACUGAGGCUGUGGGAGAUGCUGAGGGUGUGUCUGCAGGGAGGACUUCUCCAGCUCCUUUGCUGAUUCCUACACAGAAGCCUGGCAACCAUUGCAGAGGUCCUCCGAGGGGAAAGAACAAAGCUACAGGACACCAGAAACCCCAUGAGCCAUCCGAAAACAUGAGGCAAAUGCUGAAGGAAAUGCAGCAGGCAGGAGAAGAAGUGGAUGCAGAGGCUGGGCAUAAGGCGGCGUUUCCCAGAGGAAGCAGUGGUUCCAUGCCAGCCUCUGCUGCAGGAAGGGAGGCAAUGCCAGGCAUAGGCCCAGGAG